Molecule: long non-coding RNA, 574 nt
Organism: Passer domesticus (house sparrow)
Lineage: Eukaryota; Metazoa; Chordata; Aves; Passeriformes; Passeridae
Exons: 4
Source: RefSeq, a predicted model, not a curated record
GCAAAAGAAAGUCCAGUUUAGUUCAAAGUACACUUAGCAGAGCUGAUAUGAAAGAAAUGAUUGCUCUUUUAGCAAAACUCAGUUGGAAUCAUGCCUAACUUUAGGUGUCUACUCCAAAACUGCCUUUGUAUCCUAAAUACAGGUCUCCAUUGCCUAAUCUGUGAGCCCUGAUACCUUCCUCAGAUGUAAAUGCAUAUGCAGGAGGCCCCUGAAGCUAGGUGGGGUGACUCUCAUCUGCCAGUUCCUCCUGAUCUGUGAACAAUGCAUGGAAAAAUGCUUUCCUAGAGCACACAUUGGUCACCACAUAAAUACAGUGUUUCUGGUCCUGGAAGUGGAUGAUUUUUUUCUGGAAAUGAGUGGAAGAAGUUAUUUCCACAGCCUUAAAGAAGUAUCUUCCUUCUCUCCUCACUCCCCUGCUCCUCCUUUUCCUACAAAGCUUUUGGGAACUCCUGAGUGCAAUAGCAGGCAUUAUUGAUUUGAAACCUGAUGGCCAGGCUGAAGAAUGAGGAGAGGAAGUGGAAAUCUAUGUUUCAGCUUUGCUAGAUGUUCUCAGGCAGAUCAAGACUGUCUGUAC